GCCUGCCCUGUGACUAUAGGUUUAACGGCCGCGGUAUUUUGACCGUGCGAAGGUAGCGCAAUCACUUGUCUCUUAAAUGGAGACCUGUAUGAAUGGCACGACGAGGGCUUAACUGUCUCUCUUUUCCAGUCAAUGAAAUUGAUCUCCCCGUGCAGAAGCGGGGAUAACAACAUAAGACGAGAAGACCCUAUGGAGCUUUAAACACUAGAGCGGACCAUGCUAAAAACCUUAUAUAAAAGAGACAAGCUAAUUGGAUACCAAACUAUCGUUUUUGGUUGGGGCGACCGAGGGGAAAAACAAAACCCCCAUGAGGAACGGGAGUCAACCUCCUAUAGCCAAGGGCCACAGCCCUAAGAAUCAGAAAAUCUGACCAUAAAGAUCCGGCAAAGCCGAUCAACGGACCAAGUUACCCUAGGGAUAACAGCGCAAUCCCCUUUUAGAGCCCAUAUCGACAAGGGGGUUUACGACCUCGAUGUUGGAUCAGGACAUCCUAAUGGUGCAGCCGCUAUUAAGGGUUCGUUUGUUCAACGAUUAAAGUCCUACGUGAUCUGAGUUCAAACCGGA
Molecule: ribosomal RNA, 564 nt
Filed under: Pyramodon punctatus (dogtooth pearlfish)
Lineage: Eukaryota; Metazoa; Chordata; Actinopteri; Ophidiiformes; Carapidae
Description: partial 16S ribosomal RNA
Rfam family: Bacterial large subunit ribosomal RNA
Source: RNAcentral